CAAGUUAAAACUUAAUUAGUUAAGGUAUAUUAUUUACACUAAUAUUUUAAUUGUGCAAUUCAAUUUAAUUUGA
This 73-nucleotide transfer RNA is filed under the name Cosmoscarta mandarina. RNAcentral describes it as "tRNA-Val". Lineage: Eukaryota; Metazoa; Arthropoda; Insecta; Hemiptera; Cercopidae. The record is from RNAcentral. RNAcentral also lists the same sequence under 2 other names.